RNAcentral lists this unclassified non-coding RNA (571 nucleotides) under Hevea brasiliensis (rubber tree). Lineage: Eukaryota; Viridiplantae; Streptophyta; Magnoliopsida; Malpighiales; Euphorbiaceae. The record is from RNAcentral.
UUCUAGUAUUGGUCUAGUUACUGGUGCCGGUAGGUAAAUUGCUCUUCGUUGUGUGGGCUUCUUUCAAUUGAUUGAUUGCAAAUGUGAAAAAUAAUGGGUGGAAGUUUAUUAUUUCUGUAAGAUUUCCAUCUAGCAAACUCUUGAUGCAAUCUUUGAACUUGGCAGUUCAUAGUCCAAAGCUGAUUUAUUGACACUUUGAUUGGCUGCGACCAAUAUUAAGAGGUACUUCAGAGGCUGUUAUCGAAUGGGUAUAGGUUCUCUUUGAUAUAUUGCAGUUAAGUUGGCUAUUUUUUUUUUCUUGUUAUGAGAAGAAGUUUUUCUUUAGAAAUACGCUGUCAUUGUUUUGGGAGUUCAUACGGUUCUUGCAAGUGAAUCUCUCAUGCUGUGAUUUUUUUAAUUUUAUUAUUUUGGAAUGGGAUUUUACUUGAAUGAAUUUGGGAUAUGGAUUAACGAAGGCAGCAUUGGGAUCCUUUCAGUUCCAGAAGUUUAACCCUUUGGUGUUUUCUUUUGAAUUCUUUGUAGCAAUCGACUAUUGCUACAGAGAGUUUUAUUAUUCAGUGUGGAUGUUUAU